AGUCCUAGUUUUACUAUGAUUCCAACUCCAUUUCGACUCUUUUCAACCCAGGGUGCCUCAUCUUAUAACCCAUCUUACCAAUUUAUCUCACCUUGUCAACUCUCCUCAUCUUUAUGGUAUCCAACAAUCGCCAUUGUCUUAGUGGAUGGAUUAUAGAAGUCAUCAUAGGAGUCAAGUGAUGGAUUAUUAAUUUUUGGAAAAUAAAAGCCAUUUUCAAACUCCAGAACAUUUUGAAAACUUUGAGACCUAUUAUUCAAUUGAGUGCUAUUAAGCCCAUGAACUUUUUAAUUUAAGGAGUUAUUUAA
RNAcentral lists this unclassified non-coding RNA (305 nucleotides) under Hevea brasiliensis (rubber tree). The record is from RNAcentral. Lineage: Eukaryota; Viridiplantae; Streptophyta; Magnoliopsida; Malpighiales; Euphorbiaceae.